Molecule: long non-coding RNA, 689 nt
Organism: Photinus pyralis (common eastern firefly)
Lineage: Eukaryota; Metazoa; Arthropoda; Insecta; Coleoptera; Lampyridae
Exons: 3
Source: RefSeq, a predicted model, not a curated record
ACUCUAUAGAAUUUAAAUAUGCAAUACAAAGAUAUGAUUCUACACAGAUCUAAAAGGAACAAGGAUAGUUUGGUAGCCCUCCGAAACCGAUCAGUUCUUCAGAUAAGAACGUUGCGACGCUAUCAAAUUUCGUUCGAUAACCACUGAUAAUCGGAUGAACGGUAGGCGAAUGGAAGGGUAAUCUGUUUGCGCACUGAUGAGAAUUGGUACCUAUAUAAGCUCCCGUGAGGAGUUUGCAAAUAACACCCGAAACUAAUCAUGGCUUCAAAGGUUGUGCUAACGUUACUCGUCGUAGUAUCUUAUGGAGCUUCAGUUUCUGCGCUGGAAUGCAUGAAGUGUUCGAGCAAUGAUGAUAGCGCAUGCCAAUCGGCUCAAUCGACAACCUCUUGGACAUGUCCUGACAAAUCCGAGUUUAAUUUGACUGCGUGGUGUUAUUCCGCCGAGGUAAUGUUGGAAAUAGGUGGCCAACACGAAUACAAAAGAAAUUGCGCAUGGACAAGCGGUAGGAAUAUCUGCUCCAUGUUGAGAGAUACUUACUCAGUUGUUAAUCAAUGUAAUACUUGUCGUGAGAACAGAUGCAACAAUUCUCCAAUGAAUUGACCAAAAAAUGGAUCCCUACGCAUUUUGUUAUUUAUUCUGUCAGUCAUGUCGUGCAAAAGGAGCAAUAAAUAAGUUUACUACAUGUGUUA